AAUCAACGCUGGCGGCGUGCCUCAGACAUGCAAGUCGAACGAUUAAAGCUCUCUUCGGAGAGUGUAUAGAGUGGCGCACGGGUGAGUAACACGUAAGUAAUCUACCUUUGAGUGGGGAAUAACCCGGGGAAACCCGAGCUAAUACCGCAUAAUGCAGCGGCACCGCAAGGUGACAGUUGUUAAAGGAGCAAUCCGCUUAAAGAGGAGCUUGCGGCAGAUUAGCUAGNGGUAAGGUAAUGGCUUACCAAGGCUUCGAUCUGUAUCCGGCCUGAGAGGGCGGUCGGACACACUGACACUGAAUAACGGGUCAGACUCCUACGGGAGGCAGCAGUCGGGAAUUUGGGCAAUGGGCGAAAGCCUGACCCAGCAACGCCGCGUGAAGGAUGAAGUAUUUCGGUAUGUAAACUUCGAAAGAAUGGGAAGAAUCAAUGACGGUACCAUUUAUAAGGUCCGGCUAACUACGUGCCAGCAGCCGCAGUAAU
This 482-nucleotide ribosomal RNA is filed under the name uncultured bacterium. RNAcentral's name for it is "bacterial SSU rRNA". It matches the Rfam family "Bacterial small subunit ribosomal RNA", at positions 32 to 524 of the family's 1533-position model. The record is from RNAcentral.